GAUGAAGAACGCAGCGAAAUGCGAUAAGUAAUGUGAAUUGCAGAAUUCAGUGAAUCAUCGAAUCUUUGAACGCACCUUGCGCCCUUUGGCCAUUCCGAAGGGCAUGCCUGUUUGAGUAUCAUGAACACCUCAACUCUUCAUGGUUUUCCGUGAUGAGCUUGGACUUUGGGGGUCUUGCUGGCCUAUGGUCAGCUCCUCUAAAAUAAAUCAGCUUGCCAGUGUUUGGUGGGUAUCACAGGUGUGAUAACUAUCUACGCUUGUGGUUUUCCACCAGGUAACCUUCAGCAGUGGAGGUUCGCUGGAGCUCAUAGAUGUCUCUCCUCAGUGAGGACAGCCCUUUGAAUGUUUGAUCUCAAAUCAGGUAGGACUACCCGCUGAACUUAAGCAUAUCAAUAAGCGGAGGA
RNAcentral lists this unclassified non-coding RNA (404 nucleotides) under soil metagenome. RNAcentral's name for it is "partial contains 5.8S ribosomal RNA, internal transcribed spacer 2, and large subunit ribosomal RNA". The stretch from base 1 to 121 matches the Rfam family "5.8S ribosomal RNA", at positions 35 to 154 of the family's 154-position model. The record is from RNAcentral.